AUUCUGCCCAUGCGGGGAAGGAUGAGAAGCUUCGACCAAGGUUCGACUCGAGCGCCAGCGAGAGAGCGUGGCCGCAGGCAACGACCCGAAGGGCGAAGCGCGCAGCGCUGAGUAAUCCUUCCCCAACCACCA
This 132-nucleotide small RNA is filed under the name Escherichia coli. RNAcentral's name for it is "RtT sRNA". It matches the Rfam family "RtT RNA". From Rfam's summary of the family: This family represents a bacterial cis-regulatory element known as RtT RNA. The record is from RNAcentral. Lineage: Bacteria; Pseudomonadati; Pseudomonadota; Gammaproteobacteria; Enterobacterales; Enterobacteriaceae.